GAUGAACGCUGGCGGCGUGCCUAAUACAUGCAAGUCGAACGAGGUGCUUUUGUAGCAAUACGAAAGUAUCCUAGUGGCGAACGGGUGAGUAACGCGUUGGUGACCUACCCCAAAGUGUGGGAUAACAGUUCGAAAGAACUGCUAAUACCGCAUGUGGUUAUCGGAUUUAGAAACUGAUAACUAAAGGAGCAAUUCGCUUUGGGAGGGGACCUGCGUCCCAUCAGCUAGUUGGUGAGGUAAUGGCUCACCAAGGCUACGACGGGUAGGGGACCGUGAGAGGGUGGACCCCCACCAAUAGACGUAGAA
This 306-nucleotide ribosomal RNA is filed under the name uncultured bacterium. Its description in RNAcentral is "bacterial SSU rRNA". It matches the Rfam family "Bacterial small subunit ribosomal RNA", at positions 28 to 325 of the family's 1533-position model. The record is from RNAcentral.